AGUGAACGCUGGCGGUAGGCCUAACACAUGCAAGUCGAACGGCAGCACAGUGAGAGCUUGCUCAUACAGGGGGCGAGUGGCGGACGGUUCAUGGGAACCUCGGUGUCUGUUUUUUCUUACGUGCGGACAUAGGCAAUCAUACGCCAUAACCGCUGAGGGCCUACGGGGGGAAUCAUCGGACCUUCCGCCCUCAGACGAUCCGAUGUCGGAUUAGCUAGUUGGCGGGGUAAAGGCCUACCAAGGCGACGAUCCGUAGCUGGUCUGAGAGGAUGAUCAGUCACACUGGAACUGAGACACGGUCCAGACUCCUACGGGAGGCAGCAGUGGGGAAUAUUGGACAAUGGGCGCAAGCCUGAUCCAGCCAUGCCGCGUGGGUGAAGAAGGCCUUCGGGUUGUAAAGCCCUUUUGUUGGGAAAGAAAAGCAGUAGGUUAAUACCCCGCUGUUUUGACGGUACCAAAAGAAUAAGCACCGGCUAACUUCGUG
Molecule: ribosomal RNA, 484 nt
Filed under: uncultured bacterium
Lineage: Bacteria
Description: partial 16S ribosomal RNA
Rfam family: Bacterial small subunit ribosomal RNA
Source: RNAcentral